GGCGGCGUAGCUCAGUUGGCUAGAGCAUUCGGUUCAUACCCGAACGGUCGAUAGUUCGAAUCUAUUCGCCGCUACCA
This 77-nucleotide transfer RNA is filed under the name Clostridiales bacterium. Its description in RNAcentral is "tRNA-Met". It matches the Rfam family "tRNA". Rfam says of the family: Transfer RNA (tRNA) molecules are approximately 80 nucleotides in length. Lineage: Bacteria; Bacillati; Bacillota; Clostridia; Eubacteriales. The record is from RNAcentral.